UGAAGAUCCCCAUAGAAGGCCUCACCCUCACUAGGGGGCAGAAAUGGGAUGGAAUAAGAGAUAAUUCGGUUUUUCUCCAUGAAGAAGCAACUGUUCUUUGUAUAGUCAUGCUAACAGCAAGUGAUGCAAAAAGGAACCCUACAAUAAAUGUUGGUGUCACUUUGAGCUGUGAACAAAGCAUGACCAUUCUCACACAGCUCAGAGACUGAGUGAGGAGGACUCUCAUCAUUCUGCUGUACAUAAUAGAACAUGGGAGGAGAAGGGACCCACAAUGGAAUGAAGAACAGAGAGAGCAUGUCCUGGUGUCCAGAGACAUUCAUUGCAGGGGAACAAAGAGAAACCUGGCUGAUCAGGUUUGGCUCCAAGAUUACAACAUGCUGGAGCAGGCUGAUGACCUCAGUACAUUUAGCUUUACUUGGCUCCAGGCUGAACUGCUCUUUUCCCACAUAGGGCAAUUGCCCAGCAGAAUAAAAAGCUGGUGAGUUUUGGCCAGCAGCCAGCAGUCAGCAACUUAAUAAAAAAUUUCUAAGAAAUUUAUCCUCUAUGUUUGUUGCUUGCUGGUCCUGGGAGUUCUGAUGCCAAG
RNAcentral lists this long non-coding RNA (583 nucleotides) under Cricetulus griseus (Chinese hamster). RNAcentral's name for it is "lncRNA (ENSCGRG00015038578.1)". Lineage: Eukaryota; Metazoa; Chordata; Mammalia; Rodentia; Cricetidae. The record is from RNAcentral.